This 65-nucleotide small nuclear RNA is filed under the name Cavia aperea (Brazilian guinea pig). The record is from RNAcentral. Lineage: Eukaryota; Metazoa; Chordata; Mammalia; Rodentia; Caviidae.
GUGCUCACUUUGGAAGCACAUAUACUAAAAUUGGAACGAUACAGAGUAGAUUGGCAUGGGCCCUG